This 64-nucleotide transfer RNA is filed under the name Trogoderma variabile. RNAcentral's name for it is "tRNA-Ile". The record is from RNAcentral. Lineage: Eukaryota; Metazoa; Arthropoda; Insecta; Coleoptera; Dermestidae.
AAUGAGGAGCCUGAGGAAAGGAUUAUUUUGAUAGGAUAAAACACGUGAAAUUUCACCCUCAUUA